Long non-coding RNA from Solanum tuberosum (potato), 932 nucleotides. RefSeq lists it as uncharacterized. NCBI's taxonomy places the organism in Eukaryota, Viridiplantae, Streptophyta, Magnoliopsida, Solanales, Solanaceae. The record is from RefSeq and is a predicted model, not a curated record. The transcript is spliced from 6 exons.
GAUCUCUCUCCUAUACUUCCUGAUUAUGAUUAACAAUUGAUAUUUGCUUAGGCCUAAGAGCCAAAGUGUUAUCAUCUUCAUCAUAUCUCUUCUUCCCGACUUCUCCUAAAGCUUAAGGGUUAUGAGCUAAAUUAACUAUACAGUUCGAGAUUUGAGGAAGAUGGCCUAAAACUUCCUCUCCUUUUCAAACCAGAAACAUUGGUGGUUGCUAAAACAGAAUAGCCUUCCGUUUGGGGAAUCUCAGUAGCUCCCAUCCUAGGUGCUGACGUUUCAACAAACACUUAGAGCUUGUAAUCUUUAUGAUUGUGAACCUGAAGGAUCUUUUCAAUAGGGAAGCACCAUUCUUCAGGCGAUAUGGUAAUGCCAUUAUCUACGAGCAACAACAUCUAUAUUUGCAUAACAAUUUUUCAGAUGCUUCUCCUACAAAAUGAUCAGUUGAGCAUCUUUCAAAGAACUGCAAUCAGCCAUACUGCAAAUACAGUUGGUAGAAGCCUCUCGACGAUGCAUUCCAAAGUAACUUAGAGAAAAACCAUGUCUGAUGGUUCUAAGAAUCGACUAAACAAUGUUGAACCCUAGCAAAGAACAAGGUUGUUGUGGAUACCUUGGCAAAAUUAGUUGAAUAUAUAUUUAAAGAGGAUCCUAACGAUUAUCCUGCUCUUAAAUUCUUUAACAAUAACAAUACCAAGUUUGAAUGAUAUGCAACAGUUGAAAUAAAGCUGGAGUUGUAUCCUGUCAGCAAUCUAUAUAGUUUAUUUGUUUUUUCUUAUCAAUCAAAUAUUGUAAAAAAAAAUUAGUUUCUUAUUUUAGUUAAACUUACAGCAAACAGGAAAGGGCUAUGGACAAUCCUCCAUAUCUGAGGCACUUUUGUAGUAUCUUUGUAAACAUAAAUUUGCAUUCCUUACAACUUUGUAAUACAAAUAAUUAAUUUUAAA